Non-coding RNA from Triticum urartu, 674 nucleotides. Lineage: Eukaryota; Viridiplantae; Streptophyta; Magnoliopsida; Poales; Poaceae. The record is from RefSeq and is a predicted model, not a curated record.
AGCAAAUUGACCUCCGCCCGCACUCAAGGUCGUCUCCCUCCCCUUCCAUCUCCUGUACCAGCACAGCCGCCGCCGCCGCGAGCUAGGGUUAUGGCCCAGCGAGCUCAAGAACCAAUCUCCCUCCCUUGAGACAAAUUUGUGCGAGUUGCCUCCCUCUCUCCCUCCCCCCUCUCUCUCUGACAUCAAGCGCUCAAGCGUGAGCGCCCCAAAUCACACGGUCCGUCGGCGGCUCGCCGCGAUUGUGGCUACCUAGCGACGCGGCGCUGCAGCUCCGGGGAUAUCAACGCCACGGUUGAUCAGGAGCCAGACAUCGUCUUUUUAUUGCUAAAGGAUCCACGGUAACCAUGGAGUCAAUGGCAAGUACUGCUCUAAGUAUUGGGUCAACUACGGCAAUGGGAGUUGAAGAUGAUGCCAGCAGCUCUGCCGUGGGCAUGAUCCGGUUGGUGGGAAAUGAUGAAAAUACCUACAACACGCCAAAAAGAACUACCAGUCUUCCGUUUUGUGGGGUCAACAUAUGAGCCUGAGUGUGAUGAUAACUUAAAGCCCGUAAUUGGCAUGAAGUUUGACACCUGGGAAGAGGGCAUGGCACUAUACAAAAUGUAUGCUCAUGAGGUUGGGUUCUCGGUCCGCACAUGGACAACACACAAAGAUGAUCAGGGUGUACCAGUGUGGAA